Molecule: ribosomal RNA, 399 nt
Filed under: uncultured bacterium
Lineage: Bacteria
Description: bacterial SSU rRNA
Rfam family: Bacterial small subunit ribosomal RNA
Source: RNAcentral
CAGCAGCCGCGGUAAUACGUAGGGUGCGAGCGUUAAUCGGAAUUACUGGGCGUAAAGCGUGCGCAGGCGGUUUUGUAAGCCAGAUGUGAAAGCCCCGGGCUCAACCUGGGAAUGGCAUUUGGGACUGCAAGGCUCGAGUGCGGCAGAGGAGACUGGAAUUCCCGGUGUAGCAGUGAAAUGCGUAGAUAUCGGGAGGAAUACCGAUGGCGAAGGCAGGUCUCUGGGCUGACACUGACGCUCAUGCACGAAAGCGUGGGGAGCAAACAGGAUUAGAUACCCUGGUAGUCCACGCCCUAAACGAUGUCGACUGGUUGUUGGGGGUUUGACACUCUCAGUAACGAAGCUAACGCGUGAAGUCGACCGCCUGGGGAGUACGGCCGCAAGGUUAAAACUCAAAGG